UACGUAUGGGGCGAGCGUUGUUCGGAGUUAUUGGGCGUAAAGGGCGUGUAGGCGGCUCAUCAAGUUUGGUGUGAAAUCGCAGGGCUCAACCCUGCGUAUGCGCUGGAAACUGGUGGGCUGGAGUUCCUGAGGGGAAGCUGGAAUUCCAGGUGUAGGGGUGACAUCUGUAGAUAUCUGGAAGAACACCGGUGGCGAAGGCGAGCUUCUAUCGGAGGACUGACGCUGAGGCGCGAAAGCGUGGGGAG
RNAcentral lists this ribosomal RNA (245 nucleotides) under uncultured bacterium. RNAcentral's name for it is "partial 16S ribosomal RNA". It matches the Rfam family "Bacterial small subunit ribosomal RNA", at positions 524 to 768 of the family's 1533-position model. The record is from RNAcentral.